Small nuclear RNA from Cyprinus carpio carpio, 117 nucleotides. Its record names the gene U5. It matches the Rfam family "U5 spliceosomal RNA". Rfam says of the family: U5 RNA is a component of both types of known spliceosome. The record is from Ensembl. Lineage: Eukaryota; Metazoa; Chordata; Actinopteri; Cypriniformes; Cyprinidae.
ACACUCAUGUUUCUCUUCAUAUCGUACAAAUCUUUCGCCUUUUACUAAAGAUUUCCGUGGAGAGGGGCACAAUGAGUAUAAAUCAAAUUUUUUGAUGCCCUGCUUAAAUGUGGGGCU